This 7670-nucleotide long non-coding RNA is filed under the name Volvox carteri. RNAcentral's name for it is "long non-coding RNA (VCAR_LNC002885)". The record is from RNAcentral. Lineage: Eukaryota; Viridiplantae; Chlorophyta; Chlorophyceae; Chlamydomonadales; Volvocaceae.
GCAAUACAAAAGCUUUACAAUAGCAGUACACGAGCUGUACAAAGUGCAAAGUGCACCGCCGUUGCACAUGACCUGCAGGUUCACAGCUGUGAACCACAGCACUCACUGCUUUCUUCAUGCAUUUCAACUAUCCCUGAAUGACAGGUACGAAUUCAUAGCAAAUCCUAACAUGACCGAUGCAACUCAGCCAGCAACUCUUACCACGGAAAAGGGUCCAACAGUCUAACGUCAGAAAAAAUGGACACACAAAUGUUAAGCGCAUGUAACUGUACCACAAAACAGCCACUAUUGUCUUCUUAUUAAAGCGCUCAAUCCUCGCCUCCGCUGGUGUCAUCUUCACGAACGACGGCAUAUAUCUGCAUAUGAAAGGAUCACAACAAAUCAUUGUUUAGGCAGGAACAUAUACCCCGCCGGCGGACGGUCCCCUGUCCGCAACGCCGUACAUCCUGACCGUUCCAGCGGACGGCUAGCGGACGGUCAUGGAAACGAUGGUCCAAAGCUCCAAAACAUCUGUAUGUAGAUGAUUCAUGAGACGCUAAUAAUUAAUGCUCCAGCUUGCACUCCUUGGCAAGCAAUUAACGCGCAAAACACUCGCCAGGAGAAACUAACCCCAAAAUUGUGACGCACAUAGCCAAAAGGCUUCUAGCAUAAAAGGAGAAAGCAAUCGAAAGGAAAAAGACAACAUCCGAAGGCGCGCGGCGGACAUUCUAAUGACCUGUUUAUGUAACCUGCUUAAAUAACACCAACGCACUGGAACAAUUGAAUCAUGCAAUAAGGUCAUUGCAAUGGCCACAAGCACUGGGCAUUAGUGAAAGGGAUUCAGCAAAGACUGACCGUCACGCCCAACACGUCGUUCCAUCCCUUUGUCGGCUCUGAAUGGCACAAUGAAUGCUCUACUGGGUAAAUGAUCAUUUGGCGGUGGAAAGAGGCCAUUGUAUAGCAUCCGAGCUGGCGCACAGCUUGCGCAUGUCCCCAAGACCCAACACGGCACCACGCCCCGCACCCGGUUACGCCCUUGUCCUGCAUUCCACCUGCCAGCCUGUCUGUGCAACACAGCGCAUGGCGGGCAGGCCAAUGAAGCCAUACCAAAGUUUCGUUCAAGACUGGGGUCCCAAGCUCUCAGAAUCCCAGGCUGCCAGGCUCCCAGGCACAUAGGCUGCCAGGCACAAAGUCUCUUAGAAUCCCAGGUUCCCAGGCUCCCAGGCACACAGGCUCCCAGGCACACAGGCUCUUAGCAUCCCAGGCUGCCAGGUUCCCAGCCUGCCAGGCACACAGGCUGCCAGGCACAAAGGCUCUUAGAAUCCCAGGCUGCUAGGUUCCCAGGCUGCCAGGCACAAAGGCUCUUAGAAUCCCAGGCUGCCAGGCUGCCAGGUUCCCAGGCACACAGGCUCCCAGACUCUUAGCAUCCCAGGCUGCCAGGUCCCCAGGCUCCCAGGUUCCCAGGCUCUCAGAAUCCCAGACUCCCAAGCACACAUGCCCUCAGAAUCCCAGGCUUCCAGGUUCCCAGGCUCUCAGAAUCCCAGGCUCCCAGGCACACAUGCUCUCAGAAUCCCAGGCUCCCAGGCACACAUGCUCUUCGAAUCCCAGGCUCCCAGGUACACAUGCUUUUAGAAUCCCAGGCUUACAGGCACACAUGCUCCCAGGUACACAGGCUCUCAGAAUCCCAGGCUGCCAGGUUCCCAGACUCUUAGGUUCCAAGGCUCCCAGGCUCCCAGGCUCUCAGAAUCCCAGGCUCCCAGGCACACACGCUCUUAGAAAGCCAGGCUGCCAGGUCCCCAGGCUCCCAGGUUCCCAGGCUCUCAGAAUCCCAGGCUCCCAAGCACGCAUGCUCUUAGAAUCCCAGGCUCCCAGGUCCCCAGGCUCCCAGGUUCCCAGGCUCUCAGAAUCCCAGGCUCCCAGGUUCCCAGGCUCUCAGAAUCCCAGGCUCCCAGGCACACAAGCUCUUAGAAAGCCAGGCUGCCAGGUCCCCAGGCUCCCAGGCACACAGGCUCUCAGAAUCCCAGGCUGCCAGGUUCCCAGACUCUUAGGUUCCAAGGCUCCCAGGCUCCCAGGUUCCUAGGCUCUCAGAAUCCCACGUCUGUAAUUUUUCCACGUGACUAUAGACGAACUAUUUUGAGUUUUAGACGGCUCGUCUAUAGCUGAGUUUUUUAGACGAUAUAGACGACCGUCUAAUAGACGACCCAUAGACGACCGUCUAUACCCAGUCGUCUAUAGACAGGUCGUCUAUAGAUUACGUCUAUAGACGACGCGGAUAUAGACGGUUAUCUAUAGACAAGUCGGAUAUAGACACUGUCUAUAGACAGUCGGGUAUAGGCUAUUAUCUUUUAGACGGCAGUGGAUGGCGGGCAUCGUUCCUUAUUCAUGUGUUACAAUCUCAAGUCGUUUCCUCUCUGAACUUCCACCAGGGCUUCAUCCACCAUGUUAAUCAGGUUCCGGGUCCAGGUUUGUCAUUGCCAUUGACACUAGCAAACCAGUGGUUGUCAUCAACCUUGGCUGAUGAAACCUCAACCUUGGUUGUCAUCAACGACAUCAAUAUCCACAGUAUCCAAAUCCAUGUCUCCUUUAGGCAUACACAAGGCAUGCGCUUCCAGGCUCCAACCAUCCCAGCAUCACAAGUACUGAGUACUACUUAAACCAUGAGUGCUUCUCCUUUUCCUUUUCCAUAAGGACCCUGGUAAGCUCUUCCCGAGCCGCCGAGGGCUGCAAAUCCUUCCGUGCCCUCACCUCAUCCAUCACCUCCUCACUCACAACAGGAAUCAGGUCAUCUGGGGGCAACCCCACCAGGUCAUUCAAGACAAACUUAGGGUUCAGCUCGGCAGCUGUGUGCCCACCCUUGCUGUUACCAGUCACAACCCUGCGUGACUUCCCACCCUUCCCACUGGCACUGGGUGCCUGUGCCCCCUUGCCCUUUGGGGGCACACAGACAAUGCAAACCCGCUGCAGCACUGUCUCCAGCGGUAUGCAGCCGAAUGAUGCGGCUGGCUGGCCACUCCGCCUGUCAAGGGUCACGAGUGGGUGCAAAUGUGGGAUUAGUGUUUGUGGGGCUGUCAGUGUCCCCAGGGCAGGGUUAGACCUGAUCUGCCCAUGCGAUGGCCCUUCAAGUCAAGAACCUCCUGCUUCUGCAAGAUGUAGACAGCAACAGAAUGACAAAUACUACAACAUGUUCUUAUACUUUGGCCCAAAUAGACUCUGAGGUCACUCACCAGGCAGUUGCUCUCGUAUUCGUCAUCGUGUGCAGCCCCCCUGGCCGUGACAAUGUUGAGCUUGCUGGUAACCUGCAGGAGAGUACAGAAGCAAGUGACAAGCAGUGAAGCGUAGCAACUGGGGGGGGGGGGUAUCUCCAUUUUCUUGUUGGUGAAUUGGUAGCUGGCCCACAGGAUUUUGACAUAGCUUUCUUUUGGGCCGGUUGUGGUCAGGUCGGUCAUGCCAUACUGUCUAAUGUCCCUUGCUUGCGUCCUUGAAGGGUGCCAGGGCCACAUCAAGUGCGGCCUGGAGGACCUUGCGCUUCAGGGACCGGAAGGACAGGCUAUCCUUGCCCUCACCUGCAUGUGAGUGGUACACAGAGGUGGUAGUCCCACAAAGAAUUGUAGAUACCCUUCAAAGUAUCUGCAGAUGGGGUGUAGGCCUCGCCUGGAAACUGCUUGAACAGGCGCAAAAACUCCUGGAGCUUGCAACCUGCAGGCAUCACAUUUCAACUUGCAGUAAGCAUUGUGGCUUGCUAUCAACUAGGCACCAAAAACAGCAUGCUUAGAAACAGUGAGUAAUGCUGGUAAACACUGGUAACACUGGCCAAUGCUGGUAAAAACGCACCCGAGAGGUUCGCCGCGAGGAAGGUCUCCACCUCUGAAGACAAACUUUUCUCAGGUGGCUUUUCACUAUUUGCCUCUGCAUACUUGUCUAGGUGGUCAAGGUAUGAGACGCCCAUCUCGAACGUGCCAAUUGAUGGCUCGUCAAGAGGAACACUCUGCCUGCAUUCCACAUUCACCACCAGUACUGGCUCAUUGUCUGUGAAUAAUUUAUCAUUGUUGGCGACGUCUCCACCGGCAACGCAGCAGCCAGGCAGCGUUGACUCGAUAACACCCUUGCAGCCAUAGGGGUUGCGAAGGAGAUGCAGGCGCAGCUCCUUGAACUCUCGUCCACAGUGAGGGCACCUCUGGGUGGACAUAUUGAUGACCAGUCGCGGCAGGUGAGAAUGCUCAGUGAAAGUCUGGCAGUUGACCAGGGCCUCUCCCUAUGUGAUAACCAGUGAAGUAAUUGCGACACCUGUGUCACUAUCUAAUUAUAGGAAAUUACACUAAAUAGAUUUGCUGUAACGUCCUCCAGGAAUGCGCAGAAUGUCUCGCCGAGGCCUGGGCACUGCUUCACUAGCUGUGGCUGCACUACAUAAAGNNNNNNNNNNNNNNNNNNNNNNNNNNNNNNNNNNNNNNNNNNNNNNNNNNNNNNNNNNNNNNNNNNNNNNNNNNNNNNNNNNNNNNNNNNNNNNNNNNNNNNNNNNNNNNNNNNNNNNNNNNNNNNNNNNNNNNNNNNNNNNNNNNNNNNNNNNNNNNNNNNNNNNNNNNNNNNNNNNNNNCCAGGCUCCCAGGCACACAGGCUCCCAGGCACACAGGCUCUUAGCAUCCCAGGCUGCCAGGUUCCCAGCCUGCCAGGCACACAGGCUGCCAGGCACAAAGGCUCUUAGAAGCCCAGGCUGCUAGGUUCCCAGGCUGCCAGGCACAAAGGCUCUUAGAAUCCCAGGCUGCCAGGCUGCCAGGUUCCCAGGCACACAGGCUCCCAGACUCUUAGCAUCCCAGGCUGCCAGGUCCCCAGGCUCCCAGGUUCCCAGGCUCUCAGAAUCCCAGACUCCCAAGCACACAUGCCCUCAGAAUCCCAGGCUUCCAGGUUCCCAGGCUCUCAGAAUCCCAGGCUCCCAGGCACACAUGCUCUCAGAAUCCCAGGCUCCCAGGCACACAUGCUCUUCGAAUCCCAGGCUCCCAGGUACACAUGCUUUUAGAAUCCCAGGCUUACAGGCACACAUGCUCCCAGGUACACAGGCUCUCAGAAUCCCAGGCUGCCAGGUUCCCAGACUCUUAGGUUCCAAGGCUCCCAGGCUCCCAGGCUCUCAGAAUCCCAGGCUCCCAGGCACACACGCUCUUAGAAAGCCAGGCUGCCAGGUCCCCAGGCUCCCAGGUUCCCAGGCUCUCAGAAUCCCAGGCUCCCAAGCACGCAUGCUCUUAGAAUCCCAGGCUCCCAGGUCCCCAGGCUCCCAGGUUCCCAGGCUCUCAGAAUCCCAGGCUCCCAGGUUCCCAGGCUCUCAGAAUCCCAGGCUCCCAGGCACACAAGCUCUUAGAAAGCCAGGCUGCCAGGUCCCCAGGCUCCCAGGCACACAGGCUCUCAGAANNNNNNNNNNNNNNNNNNNNNNNNNNNNNNNNNNNNNNNNNNNNNNNNNNAAAAAUCACUGGUUGGAAUGGCUGUUCAUCACAGCCUGUGCUGGUGAGAGUUUUCAAAACCAGCCGGCCUGUGCUGGGAAGUUGCCAGACAUUGCAGUUAUAAAGGACCAUGACGAGCCUUUGUUGUGGGCUUGUCGAUGAGGGGUGGGCUUCACUGAAGUCUGCCCAAUUAUCUCAAACUGCUACAGUUUUGUGGUAAGGAAGUGGGAGAGGCUGGGCACUGCCUGGUCCCCACAGCAUGUGCUGGGGUUUUGUAAGUAUGGCGAUAAUCGUUACAUGCCAGGCAGUGUUAGCCUGCCAGAACCUUGCCAACAUUGAUGCAGAACAGACAUCAGCUCAGCGGCAUGGUUUAACCCAAGCAGACACUCUCCAGCAUAUUGAACUCCUCUCACCGUCUACCCAUCGUCUAUUCUUCGUCUACAAUAGAUGAAUCGACUAUAGACGACAUGUAUAGACGACUCGACUUUAGACGAACUAUUGUAGAUGACUCGUCUAAUAGACGGGUCUUCAGGAUAUAGACGACCGAAAAAAAUACAGACGCAGGCUCCCAGGCACACAAGCUCUUAGAAAGCCAGGCUGCCAGGUCCCCAGGCUCCCAGGUUCCCAGGCUCUCAGAAUCCCAGGCUCCCAGGCACACAAGCUCUUAGAAAGCCAGGCUCCCAGGUCCCGAGGCUCCCAGGUUCCCAGGCUCUCAGAAUCCUACGCUCCCAGGCACACAGGCUCUCAGAAUCCCAGGCAGCCAAGCUCCCAGGUUCCCAAGCUCCCACGCUCCCAGGUUCCCAGGCUCUCCGGUUCCCAGGCUUUUAGAAUCUCAGGCUCACAGGCACACAAGCUCUUAGAAAGCCAGGCUGCCAGGUCCCCAGGCUGCCAGGUCCCCAGGCUCCCAGGUCCCCAGGCUGCCAGGUCCCCAGGCUGCCAGGUUCCCAGGCUGCCAGGUUCCCAGGCUGCCAGGUCCCCAGGCUGCCAGGUCCCCAGGCUGCCAGGUCCCCAGGCUGCCACGCUCCCAGGUCCCCAGGCUGCCAGGUCCCCAGGCUGCCAGGUCCCCAGGCUGCCAGGUCCCCAGGCUGCCAGGUCCCCAGGCUCCCAGGUUCCCAGGCUCCCAGAUUCGCAGGCUCUCAGAAUCCCAGGCUCCCAAGUAAACAUGCUAUCAGAAACCCAUGCUUACAGAAUCCCAGGCGCCCACACUCCCACGUUCCGAGGUUCCUAGGCACACAGGCUUUUAGAAUCCUAGGCUUCCAGGCACACAGGCUCUCAGACACACAGGGUCCCAUGCACACAGGUCGCCCAUGGCUGCGGUCCAAGCCUGGCCCCAAACCGCCAGAUAAAUAUGCUCCUACAUCUAAUUGACUUAGCCGAAUGCUAGUUUUAGCUUUGUUUACAUUUCAUGCAUUUGCUGGCUCCUAGCGCUUGCAUCGAUGUAGCCCCCAGUAUAGCACAUUGCAUUACAUUAUCCAUGAAAAGAUUAUAAAACUUUAAUUCACUAUAAGCUCAGCAAAUUGCAAGGCUAAAGGGCUCAUCUGGACGCAGUUUGCAUGCCGUGCUGCCGGCUUGCGCAAGGAAUCUCUGCGCGCGCUCCACGCCCGCGCGCGCCGCGAGCACCAGGAUAAACUACAACAAAAUGUCUUUUGCUUCGUGCAAAAAUAUGUUGGUAUGUGUUGGUAUGUGUGCCCGGAAAGCUGUGCCGGACGGUCGACCGUCCGGCAGACCGUCCGCCAUGGACGGCCCCACCGUCCGCCAGGGGGGGUAUAUGAACCACACAUAGUUGUGAGCAUGUUACGUACAAUGACGGCUGUAGGUGUGACACCGGCAUAACGUGCCUCGAAAUAAGGCAAUAAAAAGCAUUUAGUUAAUAGCCAUGGUCUUGCAACCAGAGGCUUCAUACCUCCGAACGGCCGCUACGUGGCCUGCCACGUCCCGUUUGAGCCCGACUCUUGUUCAUAUCCUUACCACCAUCCUUGCGCUUGUCCUAUUCCUUGCGAUUCUCCUGCUCGUGUCCUUGGAAUGUAAAAUGACAAGGCAUAAUGUCAGUGUAUGCACCUGCAUGAUGGCCACUUACUGCCGGUGCCGUCUAGUCCCCCUUUUCCUGCUUUCCCCUGCUUGCCUGCGUNNNNNNNNNNNNNNNNNNNNNNNNNNNNNNNNNNNNNNNNNNNNNNNNNNAUGCUAAUUCAUUAGGCUUUACCUAACACUGUCGUCAUUGGAGGAUCAGCGUGAGUAUAAGAAAUGCAUACGCGCUAAACAACAAAU